CAAUAGCGUAUAUUAAAGUUGUUGCAGUUAAAAGCUCGUAGUUUGAUUUCUGGACGGGCGCCAACACCCGCUUGUUAGUGUGGAGGCGGCACCCGCCCAUCCUUCUGUUAACGCCGCCGGCAUUUGUUUGCUGGUGGCGGGCUCAGAUAUUUUACCUUGAGAAAAUUAGAGUGUUUCAGGCAGGCUAGGCCGGAAUACAUUAGCAUGGAAUAAUGGAAUAGGACUACGGUCUCUUUGUUGGUUUGAGGGACUGCAGUAAUGAUUAAUAGGGAUAGUUGGGGGGCAUUAGUAUUUAAUUGUCAGAGGUGGAAUUCUCGGAUUUGUUAAAGACUAACUUAUGCGAAAGCAUUUGCCAAGGAUGUUUUCAUUAAUCAAGAACGAAAGUUAGGGGAUCAAAGAUGAUCAGAUAC
RNAcentral lists this ribosomal RNA (410 nucleotides) under uncultured eukaryote. RNAcentral's name for it is "bacterial SSU rRNA". It matches the Rfam family "Eukaryotic small subunit ribosomal RNA", at positions 592 to 1015 of the family's 1831-position model. The record is from RNAcentral.